RNAcentral lists this ribosomal RNA (404 nucleotides) under uncultured Candidatus Saccharibacteria bacterium. Its description in RNAcentral is "partial 16S ribosomal RNA". It matches the Rfam family "Bacterial small subunit ribosomal RNA", at positions 355 to 774 of the family's 1533-position model. Lineage: Bacteria; Candidatus Saccharimonadota. The record is from RNAcentral.
UAAGGAAUCUUCCACAAUGGGCGAAAGCCUGAUGGAGCAACGCCGCGUGCAGGAUGAAGGCCUUCGGGUCGUAAACUGCUUUUAUAAGUGAGGAUUAUGACGGUAACUUAUGAAUAAGGGUCGGCUAACUACGUGCCAGCAGCCGCGGUCAUACGUAGGACCCAAGCGUUAUCCGGAGUGACUGGGCGUAAAGAGUUGCGUAGGCGGUGUGUUAAGCGAAUAGUGAAAUCAUGUGGCUCAACCAUUAUGACUAUUGUUCGAACUGGCACACUCGAGAGUGGUAGAGGUAACUGGAAUUUCUAGUGUAGGAGUGAAAUCCGUAGAUAUUAGAAGGAACACCAAUGGCGUAGGCAGGUUACUGGACCAUUUCUGACGCUAAGGCACGAAAGCGUGGGGAGCGAACC